RNAcentral lists this microRNA precursor (60 nucleotides) under Canis lupus familiaris (dog). Lineage: Eukaryota; Metazoa; Chordata; Mammalia; Carnivora; Canidae. The record is from RNAcentral.
UGCUGAGGAAGGUGCUGGUUGCAUUCAUUCAUAAGAGUAAUUAGGACCUCCCUGAGCGGA